This 1929-nucleotide ribosomal RNA is filed under the name marine metagenome. RNAcentral describes it as "bacterial LSU rRNA". It matches the Rfam family "Bacterial large subunit ribosomal RNA", at positions 3 to 1980 of the family's 2925-position model. The record is from RNAcentral.
UCAAGCUACAAAGGGCUCACGGAGGAUACCUAGGCACACAGAGGCGAUGAAGGACGUGGUUACCUGCGAUAAGUCUCGGGGAGUUGGAAGCACACUUUGAUCCGGGAAUUUCCGAAUGGGGCAACCCCAUGUACGGCCAACUGAAUAUAUAGGUUGGUGCGAGCUAACCCAGCGAACUGAAACAUCUUAGUAGCUGGAGGAAGAGAAAGUAAAUAACGACUCCCUCAGUAGCGGCGAGCGAACGGGGAACAGCCCAAACCGAUAGUCUUGACUAUCGGGGUUGUGGGACAGCAAUAUGGAUCAACAAGUCUAGAAGAAACGUUUGAAUGGCGUGCCACAGAGGGUGAAAGCCCCGUAAUCGAAAGAUAAGUUGACCUAGCUGUAUCCCGAGUAGCACGGAGCACGUGGAAUUCCGUGUGAAUCUGCGAGGACCACCUCGUAAGGCUAAGUACUACUGUGUGACCGAUAGUGAAACAGUACCGCGAGGGAAAGGUGAAAAGAACCCCGGGAGGGGAGUGAAAUAGAACAUGAAACCGUGAGCUUACAAGCAAUGGGAGCCCGACUAAUCGGGUGACCGUGUGCCUGUUGAAGAAUGAGCCGGCGACUUAUAGGCACUGGCGGGUUAAACCGGAAAUGGUGGAGCCACAGCGAAAGCGAGUCUUAAUAGGGCGUUUGUCAGUGUUUAUAGACCCGAACCCUGGUGAUCUAACCAUGGCCAGGAUGAAGCUUGGGUGAUACCAAGUGGAGGUCCGAACCGACUGAAGUUGAAAAUUCAGCGGAUGAGCUGUGGUUAGGGGUGAAAUGCCAAUCGAACCAGGAGCUAGCUGGUUCUCCCCGAAAUACGUUGAGGCGUAGCGUCUAGUGCUCCAGCAGGGGGGUAAAGCAACCAUUUCGGUGCGGGCUGCGAAAGCGGUACCAAAUCGAUAUGAACUCUGAAUACCCUGUGUGUAACUAGGCAGUCAGACUGUGGGGGAUAAGCUCCAUAGUCAAGAGGGAAACAGCCCAGACCGCCAGCUAAGGUCCCAAAAUUAACGCUAAGUGAUAAAGGAGGUGGGAUUGCCCAGACAACCAGGAGGUUUGCCUAGAAGCAGCCAUCCUCAAAGGAGUGCGUAAUAGCUCACUGGUCGAGCGAUCCUGCGCCGAAAAUGAACGGGGCUAAGCGUUAUACCGAAGCUGCGGAUAAAUUUAUUUAUGGUAGGGGAGCGUUCUAUGUAGGGUGAAGCGUUAGCGUAAGCGGACGUGGACAGCAUAGAAGUGAGAAUGUCGGCUUGAGUAGCGAAAACAUGGGUGAGAAUCCCAUGCCCCGAAACCCUAAGGGUUCCUCCGGCAGGCUCGUCCGCGGAGGGUUAGUCUGGACCUAAGGCGAGGCCGAAAGGCGUAGUCGAUGGAUAACAGGUCAAUAUUCCUGUACCAGAUGUGUUUUGAGAAGGGGGACGGAGAAGGCUAACCAGGCCAGAUGUUGGUUACUGGUUCAAGCGUUCGAGGCUUUGAGAGAUGGAGAAAACAUCUUGAGCUAAGGCGUGAGUACGAGCUGCUACGGCAGCGAAGUUGGUGAUGUCAUGCUUCCAAGAAAAGCCCUAUACUCGUUAAGACACAAAUGCCAGUACCCGAAACCGACACAGGUGGGGUGGUAGAGAAUACCGAGGGGCGCGAGAUAACUCUCUCUAAGGAACUCGGCAAAAUGGCCCCGUAACUUCGGGAGAAGGGGUGCCAGCGAGAGCUGGUCGCAGUGAAGAGGCGCAAGCGACUGUUUACCAAAAACACAGGUCUCCGCUAAGUCGCAAGACGAUGUAUGGGGGCUGACACCUGCCCAGUGCCGGAAGGUUAAGGAAGCUGGUUAGCUUUUAGUGAAGCUGGCGACUGAAGCCCCGGUGAACGGCGGCCGUAACUAUAACGGUCCUAAGGUAGCGAAAUUCCUUGUCGGGUAAG